GGAUUGUGACAGACAUACCUGGAACCACUGACACAAGUUUCGGAAAUGAAAUAAUGACUUAUGAGGUCCCUCAACCAGUGUUGGGAAUACACAGCUUUGUUUUUGUGUUGUUUAAGCAACAAUCCCGACAAAUUGUGGUUGCUCCAGAGCAUCGCCAGAACUUUAAUAUGAGAGAGUUUUCUCAGCAAUAUAACCUUGAUUCACCUGUAGCAGCAACAUACUAUAACUGUCACAGGGAGAAUGGCACAGGAGCACGGAGGUUACCCUCUAAUUAAAUAAUUAAGGGCAACUUUAUCUCGAAGCGAUUUGCAUCUACAUCUACCCUACUACGCAUCAUAAUAUUUACUUAAAUGUAAACUAUGUACGAACGUCCUAUGUGAAAUUAGUGCAACAUGUUUCUUUUUACUGCUUUCUUUGCAAAUAAAUAGAUCACAUUUAAGACCAAAAAAUAUCAUUUAUGGCAUAAAUAAGUUUAAGGUUUCUCCAACGAGAUAUUUUCUGUACUAAUGAAUGGUAAAACUUAAUUACGCGAUGUAGCACAUUAAUUAUAAACUGUUGUACCCUAUGCCACUUAUCAUAUUUUUUUACUAU
Erythranthe guttata (spotted monkey flower) is the source of this 591-nucleotide non-coding RNA. Lineage: Eukaryota; Viridiplantae; Streptophyta; Magnoliopsida; Lamiales; Phrymaceae. The record is from RefSeq and is a predicted model, not a curated record.